CGUAAUGGUGGGCACUCUGGAGAGACUGCCGGUGACAAACCGGAGGAAGGUGGGGAUGACGUCAAGUCAGCAUGGCCUUUAUGUCUGGGGCUACACACGUGCUACAAUGGCCGAUACAAAGCGUUGCAAACUCGCGAGGGUGAGCUAAUCGCAUAAAGUCGGUCUCAGUUCGGAUUGCAGGCUGCAACUCGCCUGCAUGAAGUUGGAAUCGCUAGUAAUCGCGGAUCAGCAUGCCGCGGUGAAUACGUUCC
RNAcentral lists this ribosomal RNA (251 nucleotides) under uncultured Acidobacteriota bacterium. RNAcentral's name for it is "uncultured Acidobacteria bacterium partial 16S ribosomal RNA". It matches the Rfam family "Bacterial small subunit ribosomal RNA", at positions 1124 to 1374 of the family's 1533-position model. The record is from RNAcentral. Lineage: Bacteria; Pseudomonadati; Acidobacteriota.